RNAcentral lists this long non-coding RNA (232 nucleotides) under Elaeis guineensis (African oil palm). RNAcentral describes it as "long non-coding RNA (EGUI_LNC041062)". Lineage: Eukaryota; Viridiplantae; Streptophyta; Magnoliopsida; Arecales; Arecaceae. The record is from RNAcentral.
ACCUAGUCAAUUUUGAUUGAUGUCUAAGAAAAGCAACGAAGAGACCCCCACUCGUCCUAACUUCUAACUUACCUGACCAUCUUGGGAGAUUUAGUUUCAUGUUAGGUUACUUAUUGACUCGAGUUCACCCAUGCCGACUAGGCUGGUUAGACAUGUUGAUGUACCGACCUAAAUUUGAUUAGUCAAAUGUCAGAUCUGCUAAUUUAGAGAAGACCUAAACCUAAAUCUCCUC